UACGGGAGGCAGCAGUGGGGAAUAUUGGACAAUGGGCGCAAGCCUGAUCCAGCAAUGCCGCGUGAGUGAUGAAGGCCUUAGGGUUGUAAAGCUCUUCCAGCGGGGACGAUGAUGACGGUACCCGCAGAAGAAGCCCCGGCUAACUUCGUGCCAGCAGCCGCGGUAAUACGAAGGGGGCUAGCGUUGUUCGGAAUUACUGGGCGUAAAG
This 208-nucleotide ribosomal RNA is filed under the name uncultured bacterium. RNAcentral's name for it is "partial 16S ribosomal RNA". It matches the Rfam family "Bacterial small subunit ribosomal RNA", at positions 340 to 565 of the family's 1533-position model. The record is from RNAcentral.